This 795-nucleotide ribosomal RNA is filed under the name Amauroderma intermedium. RNAcentral describes it as "LSU rRNA". It matches the Rfam family "Eukaryotic large subunit ribosomal RNA", at positions 88 to 870 of the family's 3401-position model. Lineage: Eukaryota; Fungi; Basidiomycota; Agaricomycetes; Polyporales; Polyporaceae. The record is from RNAcentral.
UGCGAGUGAAGCGGGAAGAGCUCAAAUUUAAAAUCUGGCGGUCUUUGGCCGUCCGAGUUGUAGUCUGGAGAAGUGCUUUCCGCGCUGGACCGUGUAUAAGUCUCUUGGAACAGAGCGUCAUAGAGGGUGAGAAUCCCGUCUUUGACACGGACUACCAGUGCUUUGUGAUGCGCUCUCAAAGAGUCGAGUUGUUUGGGAAUGCAGCUCAAAAUGGGUGGUGAAUUCCAUCUAAAGCUAAAUAUUGGCGAGAGACCGAUAGCGAACAAGUACCGUGAGGGAAAGAUGAAAAGCACUUUGGAAAGAGAGUUAAACAGUACGUGAAAUUGCUGAAAGGGAAACGCUUGAAGUCAGUCGCGUCGUCUGGAACUCAGCCUUGCUUUCGCUUGGUGCACUUUCCGGACGACGGGCCAGCAUCGAUUUUGACCGUCGGAAAAGGGCUGGAGUAAUGUGGCACCUCCGGGUGUGUUAUAGACUCUAGUCGCACACGGCGGUCGGGAUCGAGGAACGCAGCGCGCCGCAAGGCAGGGGUUCGCCCACUUUCGCGCUUAGGAUGCUGGCAUAAUGGCUUUAAACGACCCGUCUUGAAACACGGACCAAGGAGUCUAACAUACCUGCGAGUGUUUGGGUGGCAAACCCGAGCGCGUAAUGAAAGUGAAAGUUGAGACCUCUGUCGUGGAGGGCRDVRACGCCCGGACCUGACGUUCUCUGACGGAUCCGCGGUAGAGCAUGUAUGUUGGGACCCGAAAGAUGGUGAAMWRDRSSUGAAUAGGGUGAAGCCAGAGGAAACUCUGGUGG